UAACUAUAAACAGUGUCCUAAGUCGCUUUACUACAGAGUGUAGUGAAAAGCAAUAGUAAUUUAAGAGGGUCGCUACCAGGUAUGUCGAAAAGUCUGUCUGUUGCUCGUAUUACUGCUGUUUACAAGCAUCCUUUCUAGCACGUGAAGGUUUCCCUGUUCAGUAAUAACCAGCACAUCUAACUGUAACAAAUAAUUCGGUUUUCAUUAUAUAACACAUACUAGGUCAGCAUCUGUAAUCUAUUAGUCCUUGCACUUAUGACGACUGACCUGGUGGAGCAUAAAUAUUGAUGCUAUAGGUCCAAAAUAUUUACUGCGAAAUUCGCACGAUCUUUACAAAAAAUUCUACCGGGUGUUACUUUUUAUGUGGAACAAUUAAAGAAAUGUCGUGUCGAUUUUCCGGCCGAUCCCACUGGUAGACCAUCCGUGGUUAAGCUGAUAUUAGUAGAAAAAUAAAAUAAAAUAAAAUAAAAUAAAAUAAAUAAAUAAAUAAAUAUAUAUAUAAAUAAAUAAAUAAAUAAAUAGACAAAGAAAAGUCAGCGAUAAUUUUACUAAGACGGUUUGAUAGGGCUGCUAUUUCGGGCGCAUAGGUGCGCCGUCACAUGAUAUUUUUCAUAUUUCGCGCGCCUUCUUUAAUUGCCAAAACAAGUAAACACGCGAUAUGUACCUUCAUGGAGACACCUCUUUCUUACGUUUCUUACGAUUCCUUACAACCGCCUAAGUGGCACUUUGACAAUUAUAAUAAAAAUGCUAGUUUAAAUCGACAAUCAGCUUUAGUUAUAUAUUGCGAUGCCAAGAAGUAAAAGUUACCGGCGGUUACUCAAAGAGACUUUAAAAACAUGCUCUUGUACUUAUUGGAGGAAAAUUAUGCGUGUUUUAUUAAAAAAGAAAAAAAAAACAGGUGCAUGAUAGCUGGGACUCCGGUACGUUCACCGUCUUAACAAUACCAACGUGAAAACAAACUAGCACGAAUAUAUGACCAACAAAAAAUAGUUGAGCAGGUACUGAACUGGUCGUACAAGGACACAGCUAACGGAUAUUGUUGAUUGUUUAACUGUGAAUAAGCUAUGCUCAGGUCGAUGGUUGGAACUAUAUAAAAUGCUCGGCUAUAUUAUACGGCUCAGUGCUGCAGGGACACACUGGAAGGAACGUGCAUUCGCUGGUGCUUUCUGUUAGGUAGGAGCAGGAGUCACCAUGUUGCACAGAAAUAUGUAUUGGUCUGGUAUUUUCACUGUAAUGGUGCUUAGUUUUCUGCUUUACACUACAGCUUUAACAGGGAUCGGGAGAUGCAGACCACCGAACUGCGCCAGGCGCCCACGGAAUAAGACCUGUAGAAAUCCAUGCGUGGGAUACUAUUGUGUAAAUGGAACGCUGGAGAAAGAAGAGUGCCUCGCUUUGACCGACCCGCGAUGCCAUCGCUUAUUCGCUAAUCCCAGAGAACCUUAUCCUGGAUGUUGCGGUGCUAUUGCUUGCCCUGGUGGAUAGAUGCAAAGAGCUGUCUUGAAGAAAAUUGAGUGUCAGCACCCUUUAUCUCAAGCCUGUUGCUUAACAAUUACCAUAUUUAUUAUGGCGCGGUGUGCACGUUAUAUGCCGAAUGGUUCGCUAAUGUAUGCGUAUGAAUAAAUAAAUUUCUGACUC
Long non-coding RNA from Dermacentor andersoni, 1635 nucleotides. RefSeq lists it as uncharacterized. Lineage: Eukaryota; Metazoa; Arthropoda; Arachnida; Ixodida; Ixodidae. The record is from RefSeq and is a predicted model, not a curated record.